Long non-coding RNA from Schistocerca gregaria, 510 nucleotides. RefSeq lists it as uncharacterized. The transcript is spliced from 3 exons. NCBI's taxonomy places the organism in Eukaryota, Metazoa, Arthropoda, Insecta, Orthoptera, Acrididae. The record is from RefSeq and is a predicted model, not a curated record.
GGCUCCGGAGCAAACAUGUUGCGUAUAUAGCAGUCACCGCCGGCGCUUAGCAGACGGUGCAGUCGACGGUAUGGCAAGGACCACGGGUACUGCUGUCAGAGUGGAGGCGCUGGUGUUGGCCGCGAUGGUGGUGGUCGUGGCUCUGACGACGCCGGCGACCUGCCAGCGGUCUGGCGCCAAUCCAGGACGAGUGCGGUGCCCGGUCUGCAGGCCAGUGGAGCGGCGCCAGUGCGCCUCGCUCGGGGGCGUUGUCGUCGUGCCUGGCGGGGUCUGCGGCAAGUGCCCCGUCUGCAGGCUCGUCGGCUAGCAGCGUGGCAAGCCUUCACUGGCGCUAGUGUCAACAUUCCGCUCUUCAACCACACACAGUGAACCUGAGAUGAAACGGCUCUGCACAGGGUGGUCCAAGGAGCACGAAAGAGAAGAACAGUAACAUCUCAGCUACAAAGAAAAUAUUGCCCAGGCUGACUGAUUGUAGUAAAAACAUUAAUAAACCUGUUUUGUGCAACUCUA